AGUAGCUCUGUCAAUUGUGGGGGCAUCAGAUAAAUCAAUUUAAGCUGGAAAAGUCCUUUGAGGUAUCCAGGUGGUUCGUAAGGCCACAUAAGUCUGUCAAAUAUCAUCGCUUUAGAGAUUUCUGAGAUUUCAGAGGAUAUCAGGUCUUGAUGCUUGGAAAGAGGCAAUCGGCAAGAUUUUAGCAAAGGGACUCUGAGACAAAAGCCACAGGUUUUUGUUCGUCCAUGCAUGCUUUCCUCAGUUUCACUGUGCAGCACCUCUCAAACUUUCAUGAGAAAUUUGGGGUGCCCUGGCACUCUGUGUUUUUCUAACCGGCUCCCGGCCGACACUGAGGCUAGUGGUUCUUGAACCACGCGUCGGUAUUAGGGUGCUGUGCAGUACGUAGCUCGAGGAAGGCACUUCCACAGAAGGCAGUAGCCUACCUCCACCCUGUUUACCACCUGCAGGAUUCAUCUCAUCUCUUCACUCAAGAAAAUUGGGCAGCCCUGUGCGGGAGGCCUGACUUGCACUAGCGGCUGGAGACAAAGGCUCAAUUGGCCACCGAGACACAUUCCAAGGACACUUAGCAAAACACCACAUCGAAAACAAAUAAGUAUGGGUGAGCCCUGGAGAAAAGAUACAAAGGCAACCUCUAAGGGGCAUGAAGGGCUCUUUUGUUUGCAGCUCGGGGUGCGGGAGGCGGGGAGAUUCUCACCACUGAAGUGGACGUAAACACACGUCAGACGCGAGCCCAGACGUGGGUGUCACCAACCCCUUUCAAUGACAAGCCCCACAGUAGACGAGGACGUUUUUGGUUGCGCAAGCGGCUUCUGAAGUGGUUCCUGUGGGCACUGCGGGAAUUCUCCGGAGCCUCACAGUCCCCGAUGUGGGAUAGACCAGAGAGCUGGGGAACGGGAGCCCGCCUGAGAUGGAGGAUCCAGGCCCCUCGGGGCGUCCCCACGUCAGAUCCCUGGGGUCAAGCCUGUCCCCAGGAUGACUCCCCAGGUUUUGACCUGAUCGCUGCACCCAUGAGGCUCCCGGUGUCCGGGCGCUCCUCAGGUCCCCGACACGGAGGCAGGCUUGGGAUGACUGCAACCUGCUCUCAUGAGUCACAGCAGGUGCCUGUCGAGACCCACACGGACCCGGGCGGGCAGGACCUCGGAUGCUGACUCCCUGUGGGGUCAGGACCUCCUUCCUCCAGGUUCUGCCGUCUGAGGCCGCAGCCUGCUCCUCCCCGGCCUGCUUCUCAUCCAGGGCACGCCGGCUGCCCCCCACUAGCUGCUUAUCCCAGAGCCCGGGAGUCAGUCCCACUCCCCAGAUUCUGCGCCUGGUCUUGUCCACU
RNAcentral lists this long non-coding RNA (1321 nucleotides) under Homo sapiens (human). Its description in RNAcentral is "HSALNT0197499". Lineage: Eukaryota; Metazoa; Chordata; Mammalia; Primates; Hominidae. The record is from RNAcentral.